Macrobrachium nipponense is the source of this 456-nucleotide long non-coding RNA. RefSeq lists it as uncharacterized. Lineage: Eukaryota; Metazoa; Arthropoda; Malacostraca; Decapoda; Palaemonidae. The record is from RefSeq and is a predicted model, not a curated record. The transcript has 3 exons.
AAAUUAGAUUAGUACGAAGGAGUAGCUCAUUAUCAGGGAGAGGCAAAUGUAUAUUUUGUAAUAAUGGCCAACCACCAGAUAAAUCCAGACCGCACAGUAGUACCACCUCGAAGAAGCACUUAACCGUGCUGAAGAAUAAACCCUCUCUCAAAAUGUUCAGAUCUCAUUCAGAAGAGCCUCGACAGGAAGAAACGUAUCCUCUAGAGCCCAGGUCCUCUUCUGAAAAACAAUGUUUCUCCAGGUAGCUCCAAAGAGAGACCAAACAUCAUAAUCAUUCAGCCCUCUGGUGAGAGAGGGAAACAAGACGAAGCAUGGAGUUCAUCAGCUCCUACGUCAUCAAGUGAAAGGAGCCCUGUGAUUAGUCAAGUAAAUUCAAUUAUUGAUCCUUUCACUGCCACAAAAGUAGGCAAAAGCGAAUUGGAUGGCAAGGACAUCUCCAUGGUGAGUCAAGUCAGU